This 2355-nucleotide long non-coding RNA is filed under the name Zea mays. Its description in RNAcentral is "long non-coding RNA (ZMAY_LNC002587)". Lineage: Eukaryota; Viridiplantae; Streptophyta; Magnoliopsida; Poales; Poaceae. The record is from RNAcentral.
UCCAUAUAGUUUCUGGUUCUCAAGUAUGUUAUUCACGCCCAUUAGUGCAAAAAUAAAGUGAAAUCUGGUGAGUGCUUGUUUUCCAUUUGGUUCUUCACCAGCACCAUCACUAAUCUGUAGUUCAGAAAUUGUACUCGGAUAUAGUGUUUCAUAAUAAUAUUUCAUGUUAUUGCAUAAGUAAAUAGUGGUAUAUUAUUUGGCUGGUCUGCUAUUUGGGAAAACAAAAGAAAAUGAUACUAUACAGGGAUAAUAUGAAAUUUAUUUUUAAUCUUAUACUCCUGCGUGGUUGGUGCAAGGUGAUUCUUCCCUGCGACGGCAACGCCACCAGCGAACUGGGAGGUGUUGCGGCUCCUCUGCAACUGCACGUACCUUGGUUAGCCUUACUCAACCUUUUGCAUCCCCUCUUGCUUGCUUUCUCUAACUGUAGGGAUUUCUCGAGUUAGGAUUCUGUUUGCUUCUCACGGUGGGCUUAAUCAUUAGUUAGAGAGAUCUAGCAAUAGCUCUAACAUAUUGCCACGGGAAAACAUGCACAACAAGGUUAUUAAUUUCUUACAAACAUCCAUGAUACUCCUGAUAUCUCUGUCCUUUUGUGUGGAUCCACAAUAUCAACCAUUUUGCUUGGUGCAAGUGGAUCAGGCUAGGGAAAAUUUACUAACACAUGAAACAGAAUGUCAAUAUGGUUUAAAUUUUUUUAAUUAGAUUGUCUAAUUUGCAAUUUCUUCACUCCAAAAGUUCCGAUCUGUAGGUUUCUGUACAAAAAUGCACUCCAAAGGUGUUUUUGGAUCAACAAAUGUUUUUAUAAUUCACGGCGGGAGGAUAAACUGAAAAACAAGUAUUCCAAAUGAUUGUAGAUGCUCUGUAGGAAACAAGUAUUCCAAAUUCACUAAAGAACAGUUGACGCACCUUCAAAGACGCACAAUGACAUUUUUCGUGCUUUUGUUCGUGCUUUUGCAUGCUAUCUGUGUUAUGGUUAUUGAUAUUUUUUCAUGGUGUUAAAGACUUCGACAGAUACCUAUUUACGUGCUUUUGUUCCUUCCACAGCGUGGUCCGGCCCGAGGAGAUUCCGAAGGUCUUGGAAAUCAGCGGCAAGCGCAGCCUCAUCGACAACUUCUUCUUCUCCUACCACGUGUAAUAAUCACGGUACACCUGUUUACGUGCUUUUGCAUAUUAUAUAUAAAAGAACUGCAAUUGGAUAAAAUUCUUUUUGUUAGGUGUGUUCAUAUUCCAUGGACAAUCUAAAACGAACAAUUAAUCAAGUUCGUAUAUUUUGUGUAUCUAUACAAUGUAACUAAACUCUUUAUAUAACAACUAGAAGAUCAAUGGCACCGUCUACACUUAACCAACAUAGGUCGGUUGCAGUCCUACAUCACGUCUCUACAGAGUCUCCAUAAGCACACAUUUCAGUUGUCGCAUCUAUAUAUGUGUGGACAAAAGAAUCUAAACUCACUUUUAAUGUAGACUCACUUGUAGUGGCUGAAAGUGUAAGAUGUGCCAGUCAGGCCACAUAGGUGCCUGAGUGGAAGCUUCAAAACAUCACUCACUCAACAGUGAGGUAACAGAAGAUUUGUACAGUUCUAACAUGCUGCUUACCAAAGAAAGUAUUAAUCUUGAAAAAUCCAUGUCAUCACGAUGGGAACGCCUAUAGCAGAAAUUGUUCUAGAAUGCAACUGCCACUGAAACACACUAUGCUUGCACUGAUAAAAGAAAUUUGUUCCAUGUAAUGAGCAAUGAAAAUGCAGAAACUGAAACCGUUAAUGUCAUCUUUGAGAGGGGAAAAUUCAGGCAACAAAUAAAGCAAAUGCAAGUCCCUUAGGACAAUCCUCCUCAAUUUGCCCCUAACCGGACAAGCCCUCAAUCUCCUACGAUCCUCAUGCAACCGAACAAGAUCUAAGGGAGUUUGUUGGUUUAUUCUUUGGGUCGGAUUGUUGACCAGGAAGCCUUGAUCAGUAUGGGUUUGGGGUGGCAAUAUUUUUCCUUAGGGUAAUCAGUGCAAUCAGUGGGGCUAGCUGCUGUUUGUUGGGCUAUUUGGCGUACCAGGAAUGCAGUGUGCUUCGACAACGAAAUAGCAAAAUUUCCUACUGAGAUUGCUUGCUUGAUAUGUUCCUUUUUCUUGCAUAUUGGGCAGGUCUACUAAUGGAGAACUUGGAGCAGCAAGUUAUCCAGGGAGCGGAGUAGUGAAGUCUAAGGCCCUCUUUUCUUUCACAGGCAAGAUGUGCAGUAUGUGUGUAUCAGCUAGGUGCAGCCUGCGCACUGUUCGGGCAGGUGCCCUGUAACUAUAAGGAACACUUAGCUGUGUUUUCAGAGAUUUUUGGUUAGUUGUUCUGAACUUUGUUUCUAGGAGUGGCGGUAGUCAGU